RNAcentral lists this ribosomal RNA (428 nucleotides) under uncultured bacterium. RNAcentral's name for it is "partial 16S ribosomal RNA". It matches the Rfam family "Bacterial small subunit ribosomal RNA", at positions 354 to 796 of the family's 1533-position model. The record is from RNAcentral.
GUAGGGAAUAUUGCGCAAUGGACGAAAGUCUGACGCAGCGACGCCGCGUGAGUGAUGAAGGCCUUAGGGUCGUAAAGCUCUGUUGAAUGGGAAGAAAAAAAUGACGGUACCAUUCGAGGAAGGACCGGCUAACUUCGUGCCAGCAGCCGCGGUAAUACGAGGGGUCCUAGCGUUGUUCGGAAUCAUUGGGCGUAAAGGGUGUGUAGGUGGCCAUGUAAGUCAGGUGUGAAAGCCCCGGGCUCAACCCGGGAAGUGCACUUGAUACUGCGUGGCUUGAGUACCGAAGAGGGUAGUGGAAUUCCAGGUGUAGUGGUGAAAUACGUAGAUAUCUGGAGGAACACCGGUGGCGAAGGCGGCUACCUGGUCGAGUACUGACACUGAGACACGAAAGCGUGGGGAGCAAACAGGAUUAGAUACCCUUGUAGUCC